AACAGUCCUGAUGAGGUGAAAGAACGCCCAAGACCCAUUAAAGCAACUUCAGGGGAGCAGAGCCAAGCGCGGCACGGGAGGAGCCAGCGCUCGGGAGUUCAACACACGCGGACUAACGGCGCUUAACCAGGCAGGGGUGCGUGCUUCUGCGUUUAGAGCGGACGGUAAGAAACACAGAACCCGGGCGGGCGCUGGCGAGCCCGUCCUGCCGGUUCUGCCCCGACCGGGCGUGCAGCGCCGCGCUCAGCCCCUCGGCGCGGCCGAGCCGCCCGCACGCCGCGCCCCGUUCCGCGGGCCCCUCGGCGCUCCCACGCUGCGUUACGGGUUUCACACCCCACGCAGGAGUACAAGUGUGCAGUGACAAAAGCACAAGGUAACUGCAUAAAUCGUACUAUUGCGGAAUACGUACACUACCAAAUGGCUGAAACGCGCAGCCACGUUAAAGCACAGACACGCAGUGUGCCGUUCCCAUUAUGUAAGCACGCAUAAUUUUCGGUCUGUUUUCCGCCUCCUGCUACAAACGCCGCUUCCUCCAGCCCGGCCGCUGCUCCUUGUGCUAAUUCACAACACUCGGCGGCUCAUGAUUUUCAAAGCUUAGCACAACAUUUGCAGAACAAAACCAGAGGAGAUAAGAAAGAGUGAACCAAGCCCACGGAGCUCGUUCUGCUGGGGCUCGUGGUGCCCGACCGGCACAGCCACCAGGUCUGAGAUGCGCCAACAACAGCCGGUGCAGCCCCUGCAGGGACGGACCCACAGUCGGCUCCAGGGAAAUGGGUCACCAGCGCCGCAGCUGAACCACAGACCUAAAGCCAACAACCACCGGCUGUGUCCUGGAAACAGCACGGCUGUCACCAGCACGAAAUGUGGAAUUAGGAACAGUGAUGUUGGUGAAUAUCCAGAGCACAUGAAGCUUAACUGGGGCUUCGCUUGCCUCUACUUUUGCCCUGAAAUUCCAAAAAUCCUUAACCUAGGAAAAUAAAGAAAAAAUCAGAUUUAAACACA
Columba livia (rock pigeon) is the source of this 1002-nucleotide long non-coding RNA. RefSeq lists it as uncharacterized. The transcript has 2 exons. NCBI's taxonomy places the organism in Eukaryota, Metazoa, Chordata, Aves, Columbiformes, Columbidae. The record is from RefSeq and is a predicted model, not a curated record.